Molecule: long non-coding RNA, 852 nt
Filed under: Lathyrus oleraceus (garden pea)
Lineage: Eukaryota; Viridiplantae; Streptophyta; Magnoliopsida; Fabales; Fabaceae
Description: Pisum sativum (pea) long non-coding RNA (PSAT_LNC015196)
Source: RNAcentral
ACUCCGUUGAAUUAAUAUAAAAGUGAUAAUUAUUUUGAGAAAUUAUAUAAUUAUUGAAUUUAAUUAUAUAAAUAAUUUUUGGCUUGGUUCAAGGGUGGAACCUAUAUUUUGGAGUGUUGUGGCGUGAUUAUGCAUAAUAAUUAUUUUGAUGUGUAUAUGAUGUUUGAGUUAUGUUGAUGAGUUGUCAUGUUCAUGCAACAUACUAAUAUGGAAAUUAGGUAGGACUUCGGUCCAGUGACGUAGGACAUCAGCCCAGUGAUGUGGGACUUUUGUCUCGAAGUGACGUAAGACUUCGGUCUAGUGGUGUUAGGAAUGUUGUCCAGUGAUGUGGGAUAAUAUCAAUAACACACCUCUGAUACCAAAAACUUGAUACCACCUAUAUUUUGAUGAGGCAUUGGUGCAUUAGCAUUGCAUUAUAAUUUUUAUUACUGAUAUUGUGGUGUGAAAAUAAUUUUAAUUUUAAUUUUUAACUAUCCUGUUGUUUAUUUUCACUGUUAACAUUUGUAAGGAUUAUUCUCACCCCUUUCUGAUUUAUUUUGUAUGUUUCGAUACUUGUUGUACAGAUAAUCAGCAGUACUGAUUGCUUGUGAGUGGGAGAUGGCUAUGCAUCUUACCUUUUCAUAUUAUAUUUAUUUUCUGUUGUAUUAGAGGAAUAUUGCUCUGAUUACGUAACAUCAUGGGACGGGAAUUUGAUUUCUGAUGUUUAUUGAACUUUAUUUUCAUUUUCCUUAUCUUUAGUUAAUAUGGUGAUGUAAUAAUUUUAAUUUCCACAGUGAGUAUGACUUUUUUUUAUAUAUGAGCAAUAUCUAAUGUUUUUAAGUAACAUCCUAUAAUGUAUUUUAUCCUUUAUAA